Non-coding RNA from Camellia sinensis, 780 nucleotides. The record is from RefSeq and is a predicted model, not a curated record. Lineage: Eukaryota; Viridiplantae; Streptophyta; Magnoliopsida; Ericales; Theaceae.
GCUGUUUUGUGAAGUAGGCAACUCUGUAUUUUGGCAAUACAUUUGCAAUGAUCUCCUUUUGCUAAGAUUGAAUUGUAUUGAUCUCUUGGGCAGUGUCAAAGCAUUCUGCAAAUUCAUUGUGAUAAUUAUCUUUUGCUGUCAGUCAAAUGCCUUCUUCACCACUGGUUUUAAGAAAGAAGCCAAUCAGACUUGGUUGUGUCUAUAGCUUUUCCCUUCUCUUUCUAUUCCUUUUUGAGUGACAUUGCUCCUCCAUAUGCCCUAAGGUUUUAUUUUUGCUGCAGGCAAAGGGCUUCGACUAGUAAUUUUUCUAACAGUGGAUUCAAAACUAUGUUAGGUUAUUUAUCAAGCACUUCAAUGGAUUCAAAGCACUGUUAGAUUUGAGGUCUCAGAAGGGAAUUCAUGUUGAAACCAACUCUGUGGAGCUCAGACUGCCCUGGAAAAGUACAAGAUUGGUCUGUCAGUUGUGGUCAUUAGAAGCUUCAGAGAUGAAAUUUAACUGAGGUUAGCGAAGUCCUAAACAGUAAAGACUUGAGGUUUUGAGUUUGAGUCAUCUCAGGAUCUCACUGGAGGUUUGCCUAGCCAUUUUCUGUAAGGUUAUUGUGGUGGUGGGCUGGUAAAAUCGUCAAACUAAUUGAAAUACGCGCAAACUGACUUGGACACCCAGAUCUUCAAUAAAAAAAAAUGUCAAAUUAGUUUUGGUUCUUCAUUGUUGCAUUUGGUCAUGUUAUAAAGUGGUAUUGUUGGUUACAAUCAAAGUAGUCAUUGGUAAUAAUGCUCGAA